ACAUCAUCUCCAAAUAGAGGAUAAAUACCUGAUAUAAUAAGUUGCAACAAAUCAAUAGAUGAAUCUCAACGUCGAUUUGUUAUAUUAUUUUCUUUCCUUUAUAUCACUUAACUCACAGUCUUUAGUCCUUAUUAAGGCGGCACAGUCUUUAGUCUAUAUUUAUUACACAAGGCACUAGACAAUGAUCCUUACUCUUCUUAUUCUUGUUGUUGUUAUUAUUCUAUUUCAACCGUAUUCACUGCCCAGUGCGGGUUUUAGUGCAUUAUAUUACGGAAGUCAAGAUGAUCAAACGGCGUUACUGCCCAAAGUGCGGGUUUCAUUAAGGAGUCGGGUUCUCUCUCUGUGUGUUACGUCCAUCCACUUCCACAAAGUGUCGAGUGACAUUUCACAGAGGGUCGUACUCUGUAACCUCUUAAUGUUUCCAAUUCCGAUAACAGACUUAUAAAGACAGAUUUAUUUGUUUCACUUUGACGACUUAUAUCGCCAUAACAUUCCCGAUAUUAUU
RNAcentral lists this long non-coding RNA (505 nucleotides) under Androctonus crassicauda. The record is from RNAcentral. Lineage: Eukaryota; Metazoa; Arthropoda; Arachnida; Scorpiones; Buthidae.